GAUCUGGCUCAGAUUGAACGCUGGCGGCAUGCCUUACACAUGCAAGUCGAACGGUAACAGGUCUUCGGACGCUGACGAGUGGCGAACGGGUGAGUAAUACAUCGGAACGUGCCCAGUCGUGGGGGGAUAACUACUCGAAAGAGUAGCUAAUACCGCAUACGAUCUGAGGAUGAAAGCGGGGGACCUUCGGGCCUCGCGCGAUUGGAGCGGCCGAUGGCAGAUUAGGUAGUUGGUGGGAUAAAAGCUU
This 247-nucleotide ribosomal RNA is filed under the name uncultured bacterium. RNAcentral describes it as "partial 16S ribosomal RNA". It matches the Rfam family "Bacterial small subunit ribosomal RNA", at positions 15 to 266 of the family's 1533-position model. The record is from RNAcentral.